This 600-nucleotide ribosomal RNA is filed under the name Stenomitos pantisii DRL_11. RNAcentral's name for it is "bacterial SSU rRNA". It matches the Rfam family "Bacterial small subunit ribosomal RNA", at positions 56 to 701 of the family's 1533-position model. The record is from RNAcentral. Lineage: Bacteria; Bacillati; Cyanobacteriota; Cyanophyceae; Leptolyngbyales; Leptolyngbyaceae.
UGCAAGUCGAACGAGGUUUUCGGAGCUAGUGGCGGACGGGUGAGUAACGACGUGAGAACCUACCUUCAGAAUGGGGACAACAGUUGGAAACGACUGCUAAUACCCAAUGUGCCGAGAGGUGAAAGAUUUAUCGUCUGAAGAUGGGCUCGCGUCUGAUUAGCUAGAUGGUGGGGUAAGAGCCUACCAUGGCGACGAUCAGUAGCUGGUCUGAGAGGAUGAGCAGCCACACUGGGACUGAGACACGGCCCAAACUCCUACGGGAGGCAGCGUGGGGAAUUUUCCGCAAUGGGCGAAAACCUGACGGAGCAAUACCGCGUGAGGGAGGAAGGUCCUUGGAUUGUAAACCUCUUUUAUCAGGGAAGAAGAACUGACGGUACCUAAUGAAUAAGCAUCGGCUAACUCCGUGCCAGCAGCCGCGGUAAUACGGAGGAUGCGAGCGUUAUCCGGAAUUAUUGGGCGUAAAGCGUCCGUAGGUGGUUAUGCAAGUCUGCUGUUAAAGCGCGGAGCUUAACCCUGUACAGGCGGUGGAAACUGGGAGACUAGAGUACAGUAGGGGUAGCAGGAAUUCCCAGUGUAGCGGUGAAAUGCGUAGAUAUUGGG